GCCCAACAGCGCGGCGUGCUGCCGCCUCGCGCCGGCUCCCGCCCUUUACACCGUCUCGCGCCAGUUCCCGCCCUUUGCACCGCCUCGCGCCAGUUCCCGCCCUUUGCACCGCCUCGCGCCGUUUCCCGCCCUUUGCACCGCCUCGCGCUUCCGCGCGAGCCGUUUCGCGCUCCUGGCGCCGCUGAGGUGAUGCCGCGUGGCCGCCUCACGGGCCGCGCUCAGCGCUGUGUGCGUCCGGCAUGAGGCAGUGCCUCGUCCCCAACCUCCAGAAUCGUCCUUCCGAGGGCACUGCGCCGUGUUCCUGAAGGUCUGAGGGAUGCCCUAUCGCUGACUCUACCAAAUGGGUGCUAUAAGAGUACUGUGUCGUGUUGGCAGAGGUCUGAGGCGCUGCAGUGUGAGGCAGCCAUCAAAACCAGCCUUCCACGAGUUGUGUUUGUGCAGGCCUGAGGUGCUGGCCUGCCACUUGGACUUCAGAACGUGCCCUCCAGGAGCACUGUGCUCUGCCUGCCCCGGCCUGGGGCGCUGCUGGAUCACUCGGCCUCUCAAGGUCAGCCCUCUGAGAGCACUGCAGUGUGUUCUUAUGGGCCUGAGGCACUGCUCUGUGCCUGGCCAAAUGUCGGCCCUCCAGGAGCCCUCCCAGGCUUGCACAGCCCUGAGGUGCUGCAGCGUUACCUCAGUUCUUCCCAGUGCUUCUCAGUCCGCUUGGAGGCUGCUUGCUGUCCCACUGUGGGCACAGCUUUCCAUUUCCCUGCUGAAGGAUCUGUUGGGUGGUGCUGGGAUACUGCAGGGGAUUUUGGGUGAGGGUACCAUGCACACCGCCAGCUUGGUUCCUGCCAUCACCCAGGAGAAGGGCUCUGGGCCAUCCCUGGCCUGCUGUGCUGUUGCUCAGCGUGUCUGAGGCAGGCUGUGAGGCGUAGGGUUCAGAAUUCACAUCACCAGACUUGUUACUGCUGUACUGCAGGCCUCCAGCAAGCACAAGGUGAACUACAGCCGUCUUGUUUUCUCAGCAUGCCAGUCUCCAGCUACACAAACUGGGCUGUUCGGAGCUGUGGAUGAGGAUAAAACUUCAAAAAACUGGGAUUAUGUCCAUUAGAUAAGCAUUUCUUGCUAGUAAAAUACGGCUGUAAAGCAGUGAGUCUGCAUUAAUUUGCAGUACUUCACAGUGCAGGACUUUGCUCUCAGACAGUGCAUACCAUUCAGAAGAGAAAUCUGCCUGUCCACUGUGGUGGGAACCCUGAUAUGGACGAACUGAGCUCCCCAGGCUAACCCAGAUAUGAGUCCCUGAUGGUGACCUGCAGCUGGGGAAGUCCUUCCCAGCUGCUGCUGGCUGUACAUGGAAGGCAUCUGUAUGGUGCUGUGCUUCAGUGCUGGAAUGCUGAACAGAACAUCACGUGUGAGAAGCAGCUCCAGGACCACGCAUUUGACAGACCGGGGUUAAAGAUGGAUUACGUCCCCACACCAGGCAGCCUGCAUCUCUGCUGCUCAGCCCCCCCAAGCAAGGACAGCUUUUCCAGGGACUUCAGAUGCCCAGCUUGGGUGAUGGGCUCUUCCAGAAAGUCCCAUGUGUCACUGAUGGAGCUGCUGCGCAUCAGGCUUCUCUACAGGGCUGGCCCUGGUGGUGAGUGGCUGAGCUUUUAAAAAUCA
Molecule: long non-coding RNA, 1644 nt
Filed under: Gallus gallus (chicken)
Lineage: Eukaryota; Metazoa; Chordata; Aves; Galliformes; Phasianidae
Source: RNAcentral